UCUCCUCCAUGGGUGCACCUUGGGCAGCACCAGAGCCCAGCCAGGGCUGCACCCAAGAUGAACCCAAAUGGUCCCAAAAUGAACCCAAGAUGAACCCAAAUGGCCCCAAAAUGAACCCAAGAUGAACCCAAAUGGUCCCAAAAUGCACCCAAAAUGAACCCAAAUGAUCCCAAAAUGAACCCAAGAUGAACCCAAAUGGUCCCAAAAUGCACCCAAGAUGAACCCAAAUGGUCCCAAAAUGCACGAGCGCUGCCGGGGUCUCUCCCUGGGCUCAGCUCUGCUCCAUGUGCACAUUGCAGUUCAGUGUCCAACCCCAGUGCAGCCCCUGCACUCCCAUCCUUGUUUUUCUCUCUGCAGCCCACGGGGUUUGUGCUCCUGGGCUGGCAUUGGGAUCAUUUGUCCUUGGUGCCCAGCUCAGCAGGAAUUGUUUUGUCUCCCUGCUCUGUGCACAGAGCUCCCCAUCCCAUAAUGUGAGCCCAGACCCACACCCCAAAGCAGCACAGAAUGUGAAAAAUAUAAAAGCUAAAACCUGAGGCAUCACUUCCACUUCACACAAGACCUGAUUUCAACAAGUAGCCAGCAAAACUUUAAUUUUGAAAGCAGACAUUGGUUUCAGCUGUCAAUGCUGUAAAAAGUUUCACACAGGAGUAAUUAGGGAGAAGUUUGUCAACACAAAUUUGGGGUGGCUGAACAAAAAGCAGAUGAUAAUAUGUCUUGUCUCAUUACUUCCAUUAAUUUAGUUGAGUUUGGAAAAUCCACCCCUCUGAUAACAUAAUAAGAUACUGCAGUGUCUUUUUUUUUAGAGCUAUUUGAAUUCAAAUCACGCUUCUAAAUAAAUAAAUAAACCUCAUUACUUCUCAUUUUCCUAAUUAUCAUGCAGAUAAACAGUGGGAAUCGUGACAUUAGGAUAAGUAAGUGGCUUAUGAUUUUGCUUCAGAGGAAGAAAUUCUUUCUGUUCCCCCUUUUCCCCCCUUGGGCCACGCACAGGAGUAAUAAAUGAGCAAAUCCGGAGCAGUUUCUGAUGGAUGCUUAAUGGGGCUGUGCUGGAGCCAAGGGCUGCUUUCUGCAGCAGCUGCCACCAUUCCGAGUCAUUAACACACCUUGAAUGCUUGCAUUCCAAAAUCAGGGCAUUUCAGACCCAUGAAGGCACAAAGCCAGGACUUUGAGAAGGAGUUUGGGCUGCAGGCUGGGGGAGGUGUUGGACUUGUGGAGCGUGAGGAGUGUGAGUGGGAAUUAAAACAAUUCAUUCUGGAGGUCACAGGUUGACCUUCAAAGUUUAUUUAUAUCCGGGAAGAGCCCAUUGAGGGAUUUUUGCAUCCUUUUUGGUGGUUCCUGCCUCUGGAGCCAGAAAGCUGCUUGGAAAUCUUCUGGGAGGGAAGAGAAUUAUUGUGUGCAGCAAUAACGAGUCAUUUCCAGUGUGUAAAACAACUGAAAUAUUCAAAUAUCCCAAAUAUUCAAGUCAUGCCAGCAGACUCACAGCAAUGGCUUUGUGUACAUAAUAUUUUGGAGUGAGGAACUACUUCUGUGGAAUAACUAUCAGGUUUUCUUGUAAUGCACUGGAAAGAAGGAUAAUUAAUGGGGGUUGUUUCUGCCUUCAUAAAGGGACAUCUGAGAAGUGCUGAGAUAAAGAGGUCAGCUGGAUCUUUGUUUUACAUCGUAGUAACUCAUGUCAUAUUUUAAUUUUCCUGCUCGCUUUUAUCUGCCUGUUUGAAGCAGGAGAAAAACCCCCAAACGCUUGUAGUUAUUCCUUUUCAAAGAAAUGAUGUGGGAAGGAGAUACUGAACUUGAGCAAAUCACUCUUUGAACCAACUACCUGCCAGUGAGGGACAGCACAGCACAAAAAUAGCAACCUUUGAUAGGUCUGGAAAGUGAAAUUUAAAUUUUUCUACGAACCAACUUGACCUUGAGGAAAAUAUGGGGCUAUUGACCCUCAGCACAUCUACAGGUGACACCAAGCUGAAAGAGAACAGGUUUGGAUUGGAAAUUAGGGAAAAUUUUUUCCUUGUGAGGGUGAAUUGGAUGUGGAAUAUCGUGGAAAAAGCUGUUUGUCAUUAUCUGUUCAGAGUGUUGACAGUCUGGUGCCUGAGAAUGGGUAAAGGUGAUAAAUAAAUGAGAAUUAAAGAUUACGGAAAUACAAAGUUCAGAACUGAAGUUCACCACAGAAAAAAUAUCACAUAAAAUAACUCUUGAAGUCAUGAUUUUGCUGUGGUUUGUUAUUGUGGUGUCACUUGCUUUACAGUAAUAUUUUUCUGGUUUAAAAAACAAAUUUUCCUUUUCUUCAUCUUUCCAAAGUCCACAGAAGUUCAUAUCAUAUUUUAGAUAUUGGGCAAAGUGAUAAAACUCUUACUCCAUGGGAACUGCUGAACAAACCUAGGACAUUCUUUAAACUUUCCAAGUUAUCCUGAAAACAAAAAUAGUUUAUACAGUUGGAAUUGUCACUCAAUGCUGGUUUUGUGUAGGCUGAUAUCUGAGCUUUAAUUCUUCUUUUUAAGUGUGGUAUUUAUUUUGUAAAUUCUGCUCUUAAAUUGGUUUUUUGAACAUGUUUCUGUGUAAGUUUUUCCCAAUACCCUACUUUUUUCUCAAAUCUGUUUUUUUCCAUCUCUGCCAGCUCCUGGAGGUUCCUCCUGCCCUUGGUCACCCAAGUCCUUCAUUCUUGCUUUCUUUUUCUCCAACUCUCUCCCUUUUUUUCCUCUCCUUAUGGAAGAACCACAACAUCCUUUUGUCCCUAUCUUCAGGACAAACGUUUCUCUGCUUCCUGGGAGUUUUUUAUUCUUUAAUUUAGUUUUAUCCUCUUGGCCUCUAUUGUCUGAUGCUGCAAUGCUCCAGAGUUGAUGGAAGGAAUAAUUGCCAGCAGAAUUCCCAAAAAUCCCUGCAUUCCUGAGAGGACUUUUUGUGUUCUACAAAGCUCUGGGCUCCCUUUUUCUAUUUUAUUUUAUUUUCCCCCAGGGUCUUAUGGACAUAGUUAAGUUAAAUUUGACUUUAUUGGAGGUAAAAGGAGGAAAUGGCCUGAAACUGUCAUGGUGGGCACCUCUCUGCUGGCUCUAACCAGAUUCCUUGGAAACUCCAUCAAUGCUGAAAUUUCUCAGCAGAAGAAAAUGAAAUUGUGUUUAUUAUUAGUGAAGGGUUUUCUCUCUUUUUGACAUGGAUGAAAUGAAUUUGGCUUAGGCCCUCAGAAAAGGUGGAGAUGAAGCGUGGAGCAUCUUUAACUCUCUCUCGUGCUUCUGGAGCUGUAGCUCGAGGGGCUGUGGAGUGGAAAAUGAAUGGAAAGUAAUUUUAUUUUAUGGAGAGGGUGACACAAGGUUUUUGUGCUGGUGGAACAGCAAGAGACAACUAUUUCUUUUCCCAGUAGUUCUCAGUGCAAGUUUGAUCAUAAUUUGGAAGGAAAAGAGGGGGUUUUAAAAUCAGUUUUACUGUUCACAUUUGGUUUUAAGGGUGUGAUGGUUAAUUAUGCAGAGGAACAAAACUAAUUAGGGGAAUCUCCAGUUUAUGCUGCCUUAAAAGUUUAGUAUUUAGACUUUUUUUAAUUCUGUAAAGCUUUAAACCAAAAUAUCCAUGCACAGUCAUUGGCAAAGAGAGGAACAUUUUCAGGUGGUUAUGGAUGUCAUCAGCUGUGCCAGAAUUUUUCACCCUCAGAUCUCUUUAAUAUUAAAGAAAACCAGGUGAUUUCAGAGUGCAGUCCGAGCUGGUUCAGGUGUCAUCUUUCUGAUAAAUGCAUUUUCCUGAAGAAGUGUCCAUGUCUCUGUAAAUGCCUCGCUGCCUUGAGGGCUUCUGGUUGCCUUUCUCUUUUAUAAUUAAGGUGAUUAAACUUAUAUAAUUAAUUAAGGUGUUAAACUUCUAUAAUUCAGGUGCUUUUCACACAAAAGGUGUAGAUAUUAUCAUGGCUCCCACAUCCAUGGCACACAAAAACUGCUGAUUAUAAAUCAGAAACAUCCACAAGGAGCAGUGGUUUGAAACUGAGAGAGGAUUUAGGUUGGAUAGAAGGAAGAAAUUUUGUGUGAUGAGGGUGGGAGGCCCUGGGAUGGAAUUCCCAGAGCAGCUGUGGCUCCCCUGGAUCCAUGGAAGUGCCCAGGGCCAGGUUGGACAGGGCUUGGAGCUCCCUGGGGCAGUGGAAGUUGUCCCUGCCCAUGGCAAGGGGUUGGGAUUCAGUGAUCCCAAAGGUCCCUUCCAACCCAACCAUCCCAGGAUUCCCUAUCAGAGCAUUUUUUUCCCCUUUAAUAAUUUGUGAAGAACUGGGGAGAGUCAGGGGUUCUACACUGGGCUCCUUUUUGCCUUUGGCAUCUAUUGUACACUUUGUAGUUCUGUUAAUUUAAAAUUUUAACUCUGUGGCCUUAAAAUCCCAAAUUUCUACUCAUUCCUGCAUUCCUUGGGAUUGGGGUAUGUCCUGCAGGAUUAAUUAUGGAUGUUAAUAAUAAUAAUAUUAAUUAUGGCCACAGGGGAAUGGAAGUGGAUUGGGAUUAAACCCCUUCCCACAGAGAGGUUUUGGUGCUGUGCUGCAGGUUCUCCUGCAAGGGCUUCCCCAAAUUUCUGGAGGAGCUGCCCGUGCUUUCCUGGGAUUUCCUGCUGUGUUCUUGGCAGGGUGCUGUGAUAGCACUUUAAGAGAGUAAUAAAUGGCUUGUGUAAGUUGUUCCUUUAAGUUAGAGUUUCUAUAGAACAAUUUUACAAAUUGUUGCAUGUCACAGCUGUAAAUGGGUCGAGCACAUCGCCGAGUGUGGAGCUGACAACAAAAAAAAAAAUCAGGGCUUGUACUGCUCGUGAGAAGAAAAAAAAGCUAUUUUAUACUCCAUUAAACUGUUACACAUCAUAAAUAAUUUAUGCUCAGCCUGCUCUGUUCUGUAGCAAAGAUGAUAAACUCGACAUUUUUGGAGCAUUUUAAUGGAUAUCAUCAUUUUCAUGAAUUUCUCUGUAACAGAAGCCUCGUUCCUGCAGUAUUCCCCUGGUCAUUAUAUGGAUGGAAGUGGGUUAAAUGAUUAGAGUACAUUCCAAAGUGAGUCCUUGAGUCUUGCUCUGAGUUCCACAAGCAUCUAGGAAUGGAUUUUAAAUACAUUAUCUCAUGUAUUGAGUUGGAAGGGACCCUAAAGAUGAUUUAAUUCCAACCCUCGUGUUUUAGGCAGGGAUGUCACCCACUCGAGCAGGGUAUAGAUGUAGUAUCUAGACGUAAUUUUGCUCACUUCAAUUAAUAAUCUAAUUAUUAUUACUUAUUUCUAUCAUUUCCAGAAGUGUCUGAACAUCUAAUGUAAUAUUAUGAGGGUGAUUCUGUUUCCAGACCAGAAUAUUGAUGAUUUUUCUACUUCAUACUGAACUUUCAGGCUCUUUAACUCAGUGGUUGGGAAAGACCUUUUGUACACAGAAUUCCUUCCUUCAUUUUAUUUUCCAGCACGACCUGUAGUGGCACUUUAAUUUCAAAACAUGACUCUGUCUCAAUCAGCUUGUUUUUACCUCAGCAAAGUUAAUAUUAAGAGCUGCAGUUAAUAAUAAAAAUUUCUUGGAGGAAACCAGGCUGGAACAGGAGCUGGUGAGUGCUGAGAUAAGGAAUAAUUUCAGAGCUUCACCAAACUGAGCCUUCCGUCCAAAAUCAUUGUUCCUGUCUUUAAUUUCCUUUUACAUGACCUUCCCUGAUCGUUUGGGUGUCAUCCCUGUAGCAGCUGUCCACAGGAAAGAUAAUAAUUAAAGACAAUUUGGAGUGGAAAGAGAGAAAUUGCCACGUUUUGGGUGUGCUGGACUUGGCUCUGCAAUAUUUCGUGGGCACAAAGGACGGGUGUAGAACAGAAAAGUUCCUGCUUCUCUUUCUGGAUUGACUGAAUUCUCAGUCAUGGUUGCACUGGAGUUGGGGCAGGAUGACAUCAGUGUGACACUCACAGCCUGGACCUGAAUUCCCAGCGCUGGAAUUCACACCUAGCUCUAACUCAUGGAGAGGCUCAUCCAGGGAACCUCAGGUUGGAAAAGAUGUGGAAAACCUCCAAGAAUGUGGUAGAGGAAGAUCAUGUUUUGAGAAGAUGAUGUUUUGAGAGGAUGAUGUCUUGAGAAGAUGAUGUUUUGAGAAGGUGAUGUUUUGAGAGGAUGAUGCUUUAAGAUCAUGUUUUGAGAAGAUCAUCUUUUGAGAAGAUGAUGUUUUGAAAGGAUGAUGUUUUGAGAACAUGAUGUUUGGAGAAGAUCAUGUUUGGAGAAGAUCAUGUUUUGAGAGGAUGAUGCUUUAAGAAGAUCACGUUUUGAGAUCAUCUUUUGAGAAGAUGAUGUUUUGAGAGAAUGUUUAGAGAUGAUGUUUCGAGAAGAUCAUGUUUUGAGAAGAUCAUCUUUUGAGAAGAUGAUGUUUUGAGAGGAUGUUUUGAGAAGAUCAUGUUUGGACAAGAUGAUGCUUUGAGAAGAUCAUGUUCUGAGAUGAACAUGCCUUGAGAAGAUCAUUAUUUUGAGAAGAUGAUGAAGAUGGUGUUCUGAGAUCUCUCUUCUUCUGCUGGAUCCCACCCAUCCUGAGCUGCCAGCAGAUCUCCUGUGGGAUGGUGCUUGGGCAGCUGCCACCACUUCCUUUUAACCUUUAAUCCAAUAUUUUUCCUUCAGGCUCAUCCCAACACCUGCAGAUAUUCCAUGUGGGCUUUCCCAGAAGAGGAACCCUCAUUUCUGUUAUAAGCAUUUCCUUUGGAAAAUCUUCACUCACAAACCUGAAGUGGCAGGAGCUCUUCCAGCCCCCAGCCCCAGUGCCAGGUCUGGAAUCCUUGGAUGUGCCUUGGGAGCUCACCAGUCCCUUGGUGUCCACCUACCCCAUCCCCUGAUAUUUGGUGAGAUGACCUUGAGGCAAGACCUUCCAGGGACUUUCACCUGGCUAAAUUUAAUUUACAAAUUCAAACUGGACUCUUAUUUUGAAGCAGAUCAUUCUUUUCCCAGAAAAACCCAAACUGGAGCCAUCUCAGCAGUUCCACUGGGAAUUUUUGGGAUGUUAAAUAAAUUUGGAGCUUGGAGUCUGUGCUGAGGGGCUGCUCCAAACCUGGGACUACCAAAAGCUUCAGGAGCUGAGUCUGAAAUCUGCCUACAAACCUACAUUCAACCACCUAAUAAUGAUUUUUUUUUAUCCUCACCUUAAAUAAUAGGAAUUUUAAACCACACACACUUGGGAUCUUGCUGCAUCCAGCAUUAGAUGCCUUUUUUUUAUUUUUAAAAUUUAAUUAUUAAACAUAGAUUUUCAACCAGCCACUUCUUUGCUCUGUUCUGCCUCACAGAGAACAAAAUAAAUGUGUUUUUGUUGUAUCCAGUGUAGGCAGGGCUUGGUUUUGUGACAGGAUGGCUCUGCAGGUGUCCCUGCAGCCAGGUACAAGGUGAUUCCUGGAAUUUUUUGUAGGGAAGAAAUCCAUUUUUCCAGUGAUGGCAACUCCUGCCAGUGCUGCCCAAAUCCAGGUGCUACCUUUGAAAACAAAACCCAGGUUGGCCUUUAAGUCUUGGUCCAAUUUCUCUGUGAUUGAGAAGAACUUGUAUUUAAUAUUAGUGAUCUGGUUUGGGUGUUAAAUUUGGGUGGUUUUUCUUUCAAAAACACUCAAGCAAAGGUUUUGUCUGACAGAGCUUUUUGUGAAGAAACAACCAACCUGUUCCAGUACCUCAUUUACACCUGAAGUGCAGCAUUCAGCUAAUUGAAAACGUGGCUAUUCUUAAUUAUUUUCUUGCAGCUCAUUGACAUUCACAAGGAUCUUGUUGCUGCAGCCCCAUAAAUAUAAUAUUACUUCACAGGUUUUUAUUUUGGCACUCAGUUCUCCUCUAUUGGCAUAUUUAUAGUCUCCUGUAUAAAUGAAUAAUUUUAUUUAUUAUUAAUUCAUUUGAACUUUGCUGUGUCUGCGUUACUGUACAAGUGUCAGGGGUGGAAAAAACUCUUUUUGCUGAUUUUCUUACUUACCAACCAAAUCUUCCAGUUAGUUUCACAACACAGGGAAGCAAACCUUUGGAUAAACAGAUUUUUUCGUAUUUUACAUACAAUAUUUCUCCUUUAUCAGUGCCAGAUGAGCACAGUGAGCAGUGUCACUGUAGAGCAGUAAAAUCCAGCUGGUUUGAUGAUUCAUUAUUUUGGGGGGAUGACAGGGAACCAAACCCAAAAAUCAACCCAACUUCCCAAGUUAAUCACAUUUCCAGAGCAAAAUCUUCCAUUCAGAGGGAUAUCCUUGGAAUAAAUGUUACUGCGUUCCCUGAUCACAGCAAGACAGAGGAAAAGGAUUAAGCUCAGCUUAAAUCCUGGCGGAUAAGGAUGGGUUUUGUCCUUUACACCCGCAAAGCUGCGCCCUCACGAAUCAUCAGAAAUGGGGCGAGUGAAUUCAGUCAGGAGGUUCUUCCCUGGGUUUUAUUCCAUCCCACUGCCUUUCCAAAGUCAGUUUUAGUUCCAGCUCAUGGAUGGAAUCAUGGGGAACACGAUUGGAUUGUAAGAACUAAACUUUAACCGAGUUCUCCUGAGCUUUAUGGGAUAUUAAAUACAUAUUUUCUUUGUCACUGGCCUAUUUUGCACAACAGGAAUGUUCUGGAGAUCUUUGUUUUGAGGAUCAUGGGAUGGUUACAUUUGCAUUGGGUACCCAUGAAGAUGCCUUGCAGAUCUGGAAUAUGAGAAAUGGAAUGUUGGAUAUGGAAUAUGAGAUCGGGAAUAUUAGAUCUGGAAUGUGAGUUAUGGAAUAUGAGAUCUGGAAUAUGAGAGAUGGAAUAUUAGAUCUGGAAUGUGAGAUGGAAUGUGAGAUGUUGAAUGUUAGAUCAGGAAUAUGAGAUGUGGAAGAUGGGAUGUGGCAUAUGAGACGUGGAAUAUGAGAUAUGGAAUGUUAGAUAUGGAAUAUGAGAUCUGGCAUAUCAGAUCUGGAAUAUGAGAUCUGGAAUGUUAGAACUGGAAUUUGAGAUUUGGAAUAUUAGAUCUGGAAUAUGAGAUUUGGAAUAUGAGAUAUGGAAUGUUAGAUCUGGAAUGUGAGAUGUAGAAUAUGAGAUCUGGAAUAUCAGAUAUGGAAUAUUAGCUCUGAAGUAUGAGAUCUGGAAUAUCAGAUCUGGAAUGUUAGAUUCUGAAUGCGAGAUAUGGAAUGUUAGAUCUGGAAUAUGAGAUAUGGAAUAUGCGAUAUGGAAUGUUAGAUCUGGAAUGUGAGAUAUGGAAUGUUAGAACUGGAAUUUGAGAUUUGGAAUAUUAGACCUGGAAUGGUAGAUCUGGAAUAUGAGAUUUGGAAUAUGAGAUAUGGAAUGUUAGAUCUGGAAUGUGAGAUCUGGAAUGUGAGAUAUGGAAUAUGAGAUGUGGAAU
Passer domesticus (house sparrow) is the source of this 9235-nucleotide long non-coding RNA. RefSeq lists it as uncharacterized. The transcript has 4 exons. The record is from RefSeq and is a predicted model, not a curated record. NCBI's taxonomy places the organism in Eukaryota, Metazoa, Chordata, Aves, Passeriformes, Passeridae.